Molecule: ribosomal RNA, 435 nt
Filed under: uncultured bacterium
Lineage: Bacteria
Description: bacterial SSU rRNA
Rfam family: Bacterial small subunit ribosomal RNA
Source: RNAcentral
AGAUAAUAGAUACCCCGGUAGUCCUGGCUGUAAACGAUGGGCACUUGAUGUGGCGGGUACUGACCCCCGCCGUGUCGAAAGCUAAACGCGUUAAGUGCCCCGCCUGGGGAGUACGGUCGCAAGGCUGAAACUACAAAGGAAAUUGACGGGGGCCCGGCACAAGCGGUGGAGCAUGUGGUUUAAAUUCGAUGCAACGCGAAGAACCUUACCUGGGUUUGAAUUGCUGGUGACCGCUCCAGAGAUGGAGCUUUCCUUCGGGACACCAGUGAAGGUGUUGCAUGGCUGUCGUCAGCUCGUGUCGUGAGAUGUGGGUUAAGUCCCGCAACGAGCGCAACCCUUGCCCUUAGUUGCCAUCAUUAAGUUGGGCACUCUAGGGGGACUGCCCGGGAUAACCGGAGGAACGUGGGGAUGACGUCAAGUCCUCAUGGCCCUCAU